UUGGUUAUAUACUUGUCUAGGACUUACCGUUGGAAAAACUCUAAAAUCAUCAUUAUCCCGAGUUUCUUAGGCUGGGGUUCUUAGAGAAAUAUAAAAAUUGUUUCUUAAUUUUUAACUAAAAAUUUAAGAAACUUAAAAUACUACUUUAAAAAACUCUUGAUAAUGAUGCUCUAAAAGCACCUUCAAUGGUUAGAAACCAUGAAAGUUUCUAAAACAAAAGAAAAAUAUUAGUAUUAUAAUUAUUUAUUUAUUUUUUAUUUUCUUUAAAUUAGUUAAUUAUCUAUUUGAAUGACAUGUGUCCUUUUAUUAUCUCAUAGUUUCUUAAGAAUUCAUAACUAAGUUCAUUUUUUUUUCUAAUU
This 359-nucleotide long non-coding RNA is filed under the name Brassica napus (rape). Its description in RNAcentral is "long non-coding RNA (BNAP_LNC002507)". Lineage: Eukaryota; Viridiplantae; Streptophyta; Magnoliopsida; Brassicales; Brassicaceae. The record is from RNAcentral.